This 250-nucleotide ribosomal RNA is filed under the name uncultured archaeon. RNAcentral's name for it is "partial 16S ribosomal RNA". It matches the Rfam family "Bacterial small subunit ribosomal RNA", at positions 524 to 773 of the family's 1533-position model. The record is from RNAcentral.
UACGUAGGGGGCAAGCGUUGUCCGGAAUGAUUGGGCGUAAAGGGCGCGUAGGCGGCUCGGUAAGUCUGGAGUGAAAUUCCUGCUUUCAAGGUGGGAACUGCUUUGGAUACUGUCGGGCUUGAGUGCAGGAGAGGUAAGUGGAAUUCCCGGUGUAGCGGUGAAAUGCGUAGAGAUCGGGAGGAACACCAGUGGCGAAGGCGACUUACUGGACUGUAACUGACGCUGAGGCGCGAAAGUGUGGGGAGCAAAC